This 1182-nucleotide ribosomal RNA is filed under the name uncultured bacterium. Its description in RNAcentral is "bacterial SSU rRNA". It matches the Rfam family "Bacterial small subunit ribosomal RNA", at positions 225 to 1399 of the family's 1533-position model. The record is from RNAcentral.
AUGGACCUGCGGUGCAUUAGCUUGUUGGUGGGGUAAUGGCCUACCAAGGCGAUGAUGCAUAGCCGAGUUGAGAGACUGAUCGGCCACAAUGGGACUGAGACACGGCCCAUACUCCUACGGGAGGCAGCAGUAGGGAAUCUUCCACAAUGGGCGCAAGCCUGAUGGAGCAACACCGCGUGAGUGAAGAAGGGUUUCGGCUCGUAAAGCUCUGUUGUUAAAGAAGAACAUGCGUGAGAGUAACUGUUCACGCAUUGACGGUAUUUAACCAGAAAGUCACGGCUAACUACGUGCCAGCAGCCGCGGUAAUACGUAGGUGGCAAGCGUUAUCCGGAUUUAUUGGGCGUAAAGAGAGUGCAGGCGGUUUACUAAGUCUGAUGUGAAAGCCUUCGGCUUAACCGGAGAAGGGCAUCGGAAACUGGCUAACUUGAGUGCAGAAGAGGGUAGUGGAACUCCAUGUGUAGCGGUGGAAUGCGUAGAUAUAUGGAAGAACACCAGUGGCGAAGGCGGCUACCUGGUCUGUAACUGACGCUGAGACUCGAAAGCAUGGGUAGCGAACAGGAUUAGAUACCCUGGUAGUCCAUGCCGUAAACGAUGAGUGCUAGGUGUUGGAGGGUUUCCGCCCUUCAGUGCCGGAGCUAACGCAUUAAGCACUCCGCCUGGGGAGUACGACCGCAAGGUUGAAACUCAAAGGAAUUGACGGGGGCCCGCACAAGCGGUGGAGCAUGUGGUUUAAUUCGAAGCAACGCGAAGAACCUUACCUGGUCUUGACAUCCCGAUGACCGGUCUAGAGAUAGACUUUUCUCUUCGGAGACAUCGGUGACAGGUGGUGCAUGGUUGUCGUCAGCUCGUGUCGUGAGAUGUUGGGUUAAGUCCCGCAACGAGCGCAACCCUUAUUGUUAGUUGAUACAUUUAGUUGAUCACUCUAGCGAGACUGCCGGUGACAAACCGGAGGAAGGUGGGGACGACGUCAGAUCAUCAUGCCCCUUAUGACCUGGGCUACACACGUGCUACAAUGGACGGUACAACGAGUCGCGAACUCGCGAGGGCAAGCAAAUCUCUGAAAACCGUUCUCAGUUCGGACUGCAGGCUGCAACUCGCCUGCACGAAGUCGGAAUCGCUAGUAAUCGCGGAUCAGCAUGCCGCGGUGAAUACGUUCCCGGGCCUUGUACACACCGCCCGUCA